UCGGAAUUCCGUCGGAAUAUA
This 21-nucleotide microRNA is filed under the name Raphanus sativus (radish). RNAcentral describes it as "rsa-miRn3". Lineage: Eukaryota; Viridiplantae; Streptophyta; Magnoliopsida; Brassicales; Brassicaceae. The record is from RNAcentral.